RNAcentral lists this ribosomal RNA (253 nucleotides) under uncultured bacterium. RNAcentral describes it as "partial 16S ribosomal RNA". It matches the Rfam family "Bacterial small subunit ribosomal RNA", at positions 524 to 776 of the family's 1533-position model. The record is from RNAcentral.
UACAGAGGGGGCAAGCGUUAUUCGGAAUUAUUGGACGUAAAGGGCGCGUAAACGGCUUUGCAAGUGGCGGGGGAAAUCCCUCGGCUUAACCGAGGAACUACCUGUCAAACUGCAUGGCUUGAGACCAGGAGAAAUGAAUGGAAUUCCCAGUGUAGCGGUGAAAUGCGUAGAUAUCAGGAGGAAUACCGAUGGCGAAGGCAGGUCUCUGGGCUGACACUGACGCUCAUGCACGAAAGCGUGGGGAGCAAACAGG